This 460-nucleotide ribosomal RNA is filed under the name uncultured bacterium. RNAcentral's name for it is "partial 16S ribosomal RNA". It matches the Rfam family "Bacterial small subunit ribosomal RNA", at positions 338 to 795 of the family's 1533-position model. The record is from RNAcentral.
CCUACGGGUGGCAGCAGUGAGGAAUAUUGGUCAAUGGGCGCGAGCCUGAACCAGCCAAGUCGCGUGAGGGAAGACGGCCCUACGGGUUGUAAACCUCUUUUGCCGGGGAGCAACGGGCGCCACGUGUGGCGCCACUGAGAGUACCCGGAGAAAAAGCAUCGGCUAACUUCGUGCCAGCAGCCGCGGUAAUACGGAGGAUGCGAGCGUUAUCCGGAUUUAUUGGGUUUAAAGGGUGCGUAGGCGGAGCGUUAAGUCAGUGGUCAAAUUGAGGGGCUCAACCCCUGCCCGCCAUGGAAACUGGCGCUCUUGAGUGGAAAAGAAGUGUGCGGAAUGCGUGGUGUAGCGGUGAAAUGCAUAGAUAUCACGCGGAACCCCGGUUGCGAAAGCAGCAUGCCGGCUUCCGACUGACGCUGAAGCACGAAAGCGUGGGGAGCGAACAGGAUUAGAUACCCGAGUAGUC